Molecule: long non-coding RNA, 752 nt
Organism: Pogonomyrmex barbatus (red harvester ant)
Lineage: Eukaryota; Metazoa; Arthropoda; Insecta; Hymenoptera; Formicidae
Source: RefSeq, a predicted model, not a curated record
AUCGUAUGUUUUCUGCUCUUGUAAAAACAAGUUUAUUUUUUAAGAAAAGGAAUAUUUCUUCAAAGAGAUGAAGACUAACGGUCCUGCGGACUCAAUUAGUCAUUCUUUCGGGGGAAUCCUCGAGGCACGCGACUGUUUCGGCUCGCGGGCGAGAAUACACACGACGGGUUUAGUGAAGAGGGUGGAGGAGGAGGGAAAGGACCAGAGACACACCUCGUCCGUCUCGGGAAAAAAUGCGAGAGGCACUGUUUGUCCUGCGUCACACUUCCGCUCGGCAAUGUCAAGUUUCGACUUCCGGCGCGAGAGCACGCGACGGCUCUCUUUCUUUGGCAAAGGCCUCACGCGACUUCCGCUAUAUCUCGACAGUGAUGAUCUCGCAAACUUCGAAGUCGUGAACGUUAAAUCAAAUCGUAAUACGACGGUGAUGAGUGACGUAAAUGGUGAUGGUGAAUAAGAAAAAGGUUGAUUAUUUCUUGGCAAACUUAAAUAAAGUAAUUAAGGAAGUAUUUACUACGCAAUGAUAAUUUUACGUGCAUCAUUAGAAUUUAGAAUUAAUAAAUGUGUCUAUUUUAACUCUUUAAUAUACUUGAAUGUUAAAGAAUACGAUGUCACGAGCUAUAUAGCCGUUAUUUCAGAAAACGUGAAAAGUGAAGAGAAUCUAAUGUAUCUGUUAAGAUUGCAUUUCAUAAUUAAUCGACAAAUAUAAAUAAAUCGUCAAAAAUUGUUUCAGACUGUUUGAUCUUAAACAAAAU